GACAGAGGGUGCAAGCGUUGUUCGGAAUUAUUGGGCGUAAAGCGCGUGUAGGCUGUUCUGUGUGUCAGAUGUGAAAUCCCCGGGCUUAACCCGGGACGCGCAUUUGAAACUGCAGAACUGGAGUAAGGGAGAGGGAAGCGGAAUUCCCGGUGUAGAAGUGAAAUUCGUAGAUAUCGGGAGGAACACCAGUGGCGAAGGCGACUCGCUGGACAAGUAUUGACGCUGAGGUGCGAAAGCGUGGGGAGCAAACAGG
This 253-nucleotide ribosomal RNA is filed under the name uncultured bacterium. Its description in RNAcentral is "partial 16S ribosomal RNA". It matches the Rfam family "Bacterial small subunit ribosomal RNA", at positions 524 to 776 of the family's 1533-position model. The record is from RNAcentral.